This 496-nucleotide ribosomal RNA is filed under the name uncultured bacterium. RNAcentral describes it as "partial 16S ribosomal RNA". It matches the Rfam family "Bacterial small subunit ribosomal RNA", at positions 28 to 507 of the family's 1533-position model. The record is from RNAcentral.
GAUGAACGCUGGCGGCGUGCCUAAUACAUGCAAGUCGAGCGAACAGACGAGGAGCUUGCUCCUCUGACGUUAGCGGCGGACGGGUGAGUAACACGUGGAUAACCUACCUAUAAGACUGGGAUAACUUCGGGAAACCGGAGCUAAUACCGGAUAAUAUAUUGAACCGCAUGGUUCAAUAGUGAAAGACGGUUUUGCUGUCACUUAUAGAUGGAUCCGCGCCGCAUUAGCUAGUUGGUAGGUAACGGCCUACCAAGGCAACGAUGCGUAGCCGACCUGAGAGGGUGAUCGGCCACACUGGAACUGAGACACGGUCCAGACUCCUACGGGAGGCAGCAGUAGGGAAUCUUCCGCAAUGGGCGAAAGCCUGACGGAGCAACGCCGCGUGAGUGAUGAAGGUCUUCGGAUCGUAAAACUCUGUUAUUAGGGAAGAACAAAUGUGUAAGUAACUAUGCACGUCUUGACGGUACCUAAUCAGAAAGCCACGGCUAACUACGUG